RNAcentral lists this microRNA precursor (83 nucleotides) under Arabidopsis thaliana (thale cress). Its description in RNAcentral is "MIR5643 microRNA precursor family". It matches the Rfam family "MIR5643 microRNA precursor family". The record is from Rfam by way of RNAcentral. Lineage: Eukaryota; Viridiplantae; Streptophyta; Magnoliopsida; Brassicales; Brassicaceae.
GUGUAGCCGAAGUCCGUAUGAGUCUUUGUCUUUGUAUCUUCUAGCAAGGAUACAAUACUUAGGCUUUUAAGAUCUGGUUACGG